This 499-nucleotide ribosomal RNA is filed under the name Gymnocranius microdon (blue-spotted large-eye bream). Its description in RNAcentral is "partial large subunit ribosomal RNA". It matches the Rfam family "Bacterial large subunit ribosomal RNA", at positions 1959 to 2606 of the family's 2925-position model. The record is from RNAcentral. Lineage: Eukaryota; Metazoa; Chordata; Actinopteri; Spariformes; Lethrinidae.
GCGCAAUCACUUGUCUCUUAAAUGGGGACCUGUAUGAAUGGCACCACGAGGGUUUAACUGUCUCCUCUUUCAAGUCAAUGAAAUUGAUCUCCCCGUGCAGAAGCGGAGAUAAACACAUAAGACGAGAAGACCCUAUGGAGCUUUAGACACUAAAGCAGAUUAUAUUCACAACCCUCAAAACCUGGACCAACUUAAAUAACCCCUGCCCUAAUGUCUUCGGUUGGGGCGACCACGGAGUAAUAAAAAACCCCCGUGUGGACCAGGAACAUAACUUCUUCCAGAGACAAGAGCUCCCGCUCUAGUAAACAGAACUUCUGACUAAAAAUGAUCCAGCAACGCUUAUCAACGGACCAAGUUACCCUAGGGAUAACAGCGCAAUCUCCUUUUAGAGUUCAUAUCGACAAGGUGGUUUACGACCUCGAUGUUGGAUCAGGACAUCCUAAUGGUGCAGCAGCUAUUAAGGGUUCGUUUGUUCAACGACUAAAGUCCUACGUGAUCU